This 253-nucleotide ribosomal RNA is filed under the name uncultured bacterium. RNAcentral's name for it is "partial 16S ribosomal RNA". It matches the Rfam family "Bacterial small subunit ribosomal RNA", at positions 524 to 776 of the family's 1533-position model. The record is from RNAcentral.
UACGGAGGGUGCGAGCGUUGUCCGGAAUCACUGGGCGUAAAGGGCGCGUAGGUGGCUUGGUAAGCGUGUGGUGAAAGCUCGGGGCUCAACCCCGAGUCGGCCAUGCGAACUGCCGAGCUUGAGCACUGUAGAGGCAGACGGAAUUCCAGGUGUAGCGGUGAAAUGCGUAGAUAUCUGGAGGAACACCGGUGGCGAAGGCGACAUCCUGGACCGGCAUUGACGCUGAGGCGCGAAAGCCAGGGGAGCAAACGGG